This 74-nucleotide transfer RNA is filed under the name Paracoccaceae bacterium. RNAcentral describes it as "Rhodobacteraceae bacterium tRNA-Arg". It matches the Rfam family "tRNA". Rfam says of the family: Transfer RNA (tRNA) molecules are approximately 80 nucleotides in length. Their secondary structure includes four short double-helical elements and three loops (D, anti-codon, and T loops). Further hydrogen bonds mediate the characteristic L-shaped molecular structure. tRNAs have two regions of fundamental functional importance: the anti-codon, which is responsible for specific mRNA codon recognition, and the 3' end, to which the tRNAs corresponding amino acid is attached (by aminoacyl-tRNA synthetases). tRNAs cope with the degeneracy of the genetic code in two manners: having more than one tRNA (with a specific anti-codon) for a particular amino acid; and 'wobble' base-pairing, i.e. permitting non-standard base-pairing at the 3rd anti-codon position. Lineage: Bacteria; Pseudomonadati; Pseudomonadota; Alphaproteobacteria; Rhodobacterales; Paracoccaceae. The record is from RNAcentral.
GCACCCUUAGCUCAGCUGGAUAGAGCGUUAGACUACGAAUCUAAAUAGGAGUUCGAAUCUCUCAGGGUGCACCA